This 253-nucleotide ribosomal RNA is filed under the name uncultured bacterium. RNAcentral describes it as "partial 16S ribosomal RNA". It matches the Rfam family "Bacterial small subunit ribosomal RNA", at positions 524 to 776 of the family's 1533-position model. The record is from RNAcentral.
UACGGAGGGUGCAAGCGUUAAUCGGAAUUACUGGGCGUAAAGCGCACGCAGGUGGCUGAGUCAGUCGAUUGUGAAAGCCCUGGGCUUAACCUGGGAAUUGCAGUCGAUACUACUCGGCUUGAGUAUGGGAGAGGGCAGUGGAAUUCUCGGUGUAGCGGUGAAAUGCGUAGAUAUCGAGAGGAACAUCAGUGGCGAAGGCGGCUGCCUGGCCCAAUACUGACACUCAGGUGCGACAGCGUGGGGAGCAAACAGG